Molecule: long non-coding RNA, 2785 nt
Filed under: Eutrema salsugineum
Lineage: Eukaryota; Viridiplantae; Streptophyta; Magnoliopsida; Brassicales; Brassicaceae
Source: RNAcentral
GCGGACUCAAAGCCAAAGGAUAUAUGCUAAUGCGAUACAUAUACUAACGGGUGCGAUCAUACCAGCACUAAUGCACCGGAUUCCAUCAGAACCCCGCAGUUAAGCGUGCUUGGGCGAGAGUAGUACUAGGAUGGGUGACCUCCCGGGAAGUCCUCGUGUUGCACCUUUUUUUGUUCCUCUUGAUUCUUUUCUUUUUAUUUUAUUUUUUGUCUUUUCACUUGAAAAUACAAAGGCAUCUUCCGAAGGACGCUAUUUCUAGACCGUGUGGAACCAGGCCUCCUACAACAACUUUUCGGAAAGCCCCUAGAGUGCUCUCGGGCUUGCCCAAGAAUUUAAAAACCAAGGGUGCGGUUUACGAGGCCAAAAUUUUGAGUUUUAGACCCUCUUCUGGGCGUUUUUCUAAAACAUAAGCCCCGGUUUUAGUAUCUUCAAACGUGGUGUCCUAACUUAUAUAUCUUGGCACGAAUGCUCGUCGCAGCUGGGCGGGAAAACCCAUAUAAACAAUGCAACACACGCGAAGAGAUUUCAUUGCGGACUCAAAGCCAAAGGAUAUAUGCUAAUGCGAUACAUAUACUUGAUGGGUGCGAUCAUACCAGCACUAAUGCACCGAAUCCCGUCAGAACACCGCAAUUAAGCGUGCUUGGGCGAGAGUAGUACUAGGAUGGGUGACCUCCCGGGAAGUCCUCGUGUUGCACCCCUUUUUUGUUCCUCUUGAUUUUUUUGUUUUUUUUUUUUUUUGGUCUUUUCAUUUGAAAAACAAUGCAUCUUCCGAACGACGCUAUUUCAAGACCGUGUGGAACCACGCCUCCUACAGCAACUUUUCGAAAAGCCCCAAGAGUGCUCUCGGGCUUGCCCAAGGGUCUAAAGACCAUGGGUGUGGUUUACGAGGCCAAAAUUUUGAGUUUUAGACCCUCUUCCGGGCGUUUUUCUAAAACAUAAGCCCCGGUUUUAGUGUCGUCAAAUGUGGUGUCCUAACUUAUAUAUCUUGGCACGAAUGCUCGUCGCAGCUGGGUGGGAAAACCCAUAUAAACAGUGCAACACACGCGAAGAGAUUUCAUUGCGCACUCAAAGCCAAAGGAUAUAUGCUAAUGCGAUACAUAUACUAACGGGUGCGAUCAUACCAGCACUAAUGCACCGGAUUCCAUCAGAACCCCGCAGUUAAGCGUGCUUGGGCGAGAGUAGUACUAGGAUGGGUGACCUCCCGGGAAGUCCUCGUGUUGCACCUUUUUUUGUUCCUCUUGAUUCUUUUCUUUUUAUUUUAUUUUUUGUCUUUUCAUUUGAAAAACAAGGCAUCUUCCGAAGGACGCUAUUUCUAGACCGUGUGGAACCAGGCCUCCUACAACAACUUUUCGGAAAGCCCCUAGAGUGCUCUCGGGCUUGCCCAAGAAUCUAAAAACCAAGGGUGCGGUUUACGAGGCCAAAAUUUUGAGUUUUAGACCCUCUUCUGGGCGUUUUUCUAAAACAUAAGCCCCGGUUUUAGUAUCUUCAAACGUGGUGUCCUAACUUAUAUAUCUUGGCACGAAUGCUCGUCGCAGCUGGGCGGGAAAACCCAUAUAAACAAUGCAACACACGCGAAGAGAUUUCAUUGCGGACUCAAAGCCAAAGGAUAUAUGCUAAUGCGAUACAUAUACUUGAUGGGUGCGAUCAUACCAGCACUAAUGCACCGAAUCCCAUCAGAACACCGCAAUUAAGCGUGCUUGGGCGAGAGUAGUACUAGGAUGGGUGACCUCCCGGGAAGUCCUCGUGUUGCACCCCUUUUUUGUUCCUCUUGAUUUUUUUGUUUUUUUUUUUUUUUGGUCUUUUCAUUUGAAAAACAAUGCAUCUUCCGAACGACGCUAUUUCAAGACCGUGUGGAACCACGCCUCCUACAGCAACUUUUCGAAAAGCCCCAAGAGUGCUCUCGGGCUUGCCCAAGGGUCUAAAGACCAUGGGUGUGGUUUACGAGGCCAAAAUUUUGAGUUUUAGACCCUCUUCUGGGCGUUUUUCUAAAACAUAAGCCCCGGUUUUAGUAUCUUCAAACGUGGUGUCCUAACUUAUAUAUCUUGGCACGAAUGCUCGUCGCAGCUGGGCGGGAAAACCCAUAUAAACAAUGCAACACACGCGAAGAGAUUUCAUUGCGGACUCAAAGCCAAAGGAUAUAUGCUAAUGCGAUACAUAUACUUGAUGGGUGCUAUCAUACCAGCACUAAUGCACCGAAUCCCAUCAGAACACCGCAAUUAAGCGUGCUUGGGCGAGAGUAGUACUAGGAUGGGUGACCUCCCGGGAAGUCCUCGUGUUGCACCCCUUUUUUGUUCCUCUUGAUUUUUUUGUUUUUUUUUUUUUUUUGGUCUUUUCAUUUGAAAAACAAUGCAUCUUCCGAACGACGCUAUUUCAAGACCGUGUGGAACCACGCCUCCUACAGCAACUUUUCGAAAAGCCCCAAGAGUGCUCUCGGGCUUGCCCAAGGGUCUAAAGACCAUGGGUAAGGUUUACGAGGCCAAAAUUUUGAGUUUUAGACCCUCUUCCGGGCGUUUUUCUAAAACAUAAGCCCCGGUUUUAGUGUCGUCAAACUUGGUGUCCUAACUUAUAUAUCUUGGCACGAAUGCUCGUCGCAGCUGGGCGGGAAAACCCAUAUAAACAGUGCAACACACGCGAAGAGAUUUCAUUGCGGACUCAAAGCCAAAGGAUAUAUGCUAAUGCGAUACAUAUACUAACGGGUGCGAUCAUACCAGCACUAAUGCACCGGAUUCCAUCAGAACCCCGCAGUUAAGCAUGCUUGGGCGAGAGUAGUCCUAGGAUGGGUGAC